UGCAGUCGAGCGGUAGAGAGAAGCUUGCUUCUCUUGAGAGCGGCGGACGGGUGAGUAAUGCCUAGGAAUCUGCCUGGUAGUGGGGGAUAACGUUCGGAAACGGACGCUAAUACCGCAUACGUCCUACGGGAGAAAGCAGGGGACCUUCGGGCCUUGCGCUAUCAGAUGAGCCUAGGUCGGAUUAGCUAGUUGGUGGGGUAAUGGCUCACCAAGGCGACGAUCCGUAACUGGUCUGAGAGGAUGAUCAGUCACACUGGAACUGAGACACGGUCCAGACUCCUACGGGAGGCAGCAGUGGGGAAUAUUGGACAAUGGGCGAAAGCCUGAUCCAGCCAUGCCGCGUGUGUGAAGAAGGUCUUCGGAUUGUAAAGCACUUUAAGUUGGGAGGAAGGGUUGUAGAUUAAUACUCUGCAAUUUUGACGUUACCGACAGAAUAAGCACCGGCUAACUCUGUGCCAGCAGCCGCGGUAAUACAGAGGGUGCAAGCGUUAAUCGGAAUUACUGGGCGUAAAGCGCGCGUAGGUGGUUUGUUAAGUUGGAUGUGAAAUCCCCGGGCUCAACCUGGGAACUGCAUUCAAAACUGACUGACUAGAGUAUGGUAGAGGGUGGUGGAAUUUCCUGUGUAGCGGUGAAAUGCGUAUAUAUAGGAAGGAACACCAGUGGCGAAGGCGACCACCUGGACUAAUACUGACACUGAGGUGCGAAAGCGUGGGGGAGCAAACAGGAUUAGAUACCCUGGGAGUCCACGCCGUAAACGAUGUCAACUAGCCGUUGGAAGCCUUGAGCUUUUAGUGG
Molecule: ribosomal RNA, 795 nt
Filed under: Pseudomonas cedrina
Lineage: Bacteria; Pseudomonadati; Pseudomonadota; Gammaproteobacteria; Pseudomonadales; Pseudomonadaceae
Description: bacterial SSU rRNA
Rfam family: Bacterial small subunit ribosomal RNA
Source: RNAcentral